Molecule: ribosomal RNA, 253 nt
Filed under: uncultured bacterium
Lineage: Bacteria
Description: partial 16S ribosomal RNA
Rfam family: Bacterial small subunit ribosomal RNA
Source: RNAcentral
UACAGAGGGUGCAAGCGUUAAUCGGAAUUACUGGGCGUAAAGCGUGCGCAGGCGGUUUUGUAAGUCUGACGUGAAAGCCCCGGGCUCAACCUGGGAAUUGCGUUGGAGACUGCAAGGCUUGAAUCUGGCAGAGGGGGGUAGAAUUCCACGUGUAGCAGUGAAAUGCGUAGAGAUGUGGAGGAACACCGAUGGCGAAGGCAGCCCCCUGGGUCAAGAUUGACGCUCAUGCACGAAAGCGUGGGGAGCAAACAGG